AAAAAAUAUUUAACCUAUCCGC
This 22-nucleotide transfer RNA is filed under the name Bignonia callistegioides. RNAcentral describes it as "partial tRNA-Leu". The record is from RNAcentral. Lineage: Eukaryota; Viridiplantae; Streptophyta; Magnoliopsida; Lamiales; Bignoniaceae.